Acinonyx jubatus (cheetah) is the source of this 1111-nucleotide long non-coding RNA. RefSeq lists it as uncharacterized. The record is from RefSeq and is a predicted model, not a curated record. The transcript has 4 exons. NCBI's taxonomy places the organism in Eukaryota, Metazoa, Chordata, Mammalia, Carnivora, Felidae.
CUGAGAAAAGGACUGAGAGCAGGACUCAGAAUGCUCUUUGAAGUGCCGGACUAGACAGCUGGUUGUUGGGUCACCAUUUGAGGCCAAAGAUCUCUGAGGGUAACAGCAGACCGAGAGAUUUCCAGAUUGGAGUGUGGACUUGUGCUGGAGAAGAAAUUUGAAAGAGUUGGAGGCAGUAGCGUCAAGGCAGCCCAGGGCAAGAGCAGCAGCACUUAUCUGUGAGUCAGGAGUCCCGGAUGCAGCUCUCACCAUGUGGCUUUGAUCUGCCUGCUCAUAGCAAGAUUGCAUUUUCUGCUCCUCCAAGCUGCAAACCUCCUGAGAAAGGCAAGAGAACACUGGAUACGUGAAAGGAAAAGUUAGAAGCUGAUGUGUCUGAGGACAUUUUCUGGGAAGACAACUCAACAUGGAGCUCUUGUAUACCCUAUGCCAUCAUUCUAACAGAGAAGCAGCAAAUAUGUGACCCUGAAAAUAAGAGUUAGCUGAAGCCACCAAUCUAUCCCCCUGGUGACUCUGGUAGGAAUGGACAGUGGCAUCAAAACUCUCUUUUUUCAGGGCACCUGGGUGGCUCAGUUGGUUAAGCAUCCGACUUCGGCUCAGGUCACGAUCUCACGGUUUGUGAGUUCGAGCCCCACGUCAGGCUCUGUACUGACAGCUCAGAGCAUGGAGCCUGCUUUGGAUUCUGUGUCUCCCUCUCUCUCUGCCCCUCUCUCUUUUUUAACUGUGUAUUUGAUAUAUGUCAAAUAGCUUGGCUCUGUAUGUGAAACUGACUUAAAUCACUCACAGGCAAUGGUUUUUCAUCUCUGAAUAUAAAUCUGCUCCUAUCAAUGCUUUGCUUGAGCAUCACCUGAUUCUUCAUUAGCAUUUUAACCCCUGAUUCACAGGAGAUAAAAAAGCAGGUCCGAAAAAUAACUAUUUGCUGAAAUUUGGCAGCUAGUAGGGGGUGAACAAAAAUGCUUCCUUGGGACAUAACUUCAUCCCAACAUUUAGGGUGAAUCAACCUUCCCGAGUUGUUUUAAGCGUAACAUUUUGUCAAUAAAAGGAGGAAUUACUUACAGUGGUAGAAUUCUUUUCUCUGCAAAAGGGCAGUUGGUAUUCCCAUUCAUUUCCUGUA